Molecule: long non-coding RNA, 503 nt
Organism: Cydia pomonella (codling moth)
Lineage: Eukaryota; Metazoa; Arthropoda; Insecta; Lepidoptera; Tortricidae
Exons: 3
Source: RefSeq, a predicted model, not a curated record
UUCUGAAUUCAAAGGAGAAAAUUGGAUCACAUACGGAUCGGACAACUGCUAGAACGACUACUAGGACUCCUCGUUCUACUCGUGCUACUAGAAUGACUCGUUUCAACUCUAUAUUUACAACUGCUAGAACGACUACUAGGACUCGUCGUGCUACUCGUGCUACUAGAACGACUCGUUUCAAGUCUAUAUUUGUAAGUAUACUCAGACACACCCACUUUAUCAGUACAAAAAGGUGCGAAAUUCAAAUUUUCUCUGGGAAUCAACUCUUCGCGCCUUUUUUUUAAAUUUUCCUCCGUUUUCUACUGACAAAGUGCCAGAGUGUUACUUCACUGCAAUAGUGUUUAGCUAGAAUACGAAAGCUAGUCCGACGUGUUUCAAUCCUAUCUUCUUCUUCUUCUUCUUUCCAUCCUGUUACCCCCUGCUGGGAUGUAGGGCUCGAAGCAUUCUCUUCCACUGACUCCGGUCCUGGGCAGCUUGGGUAACCUCCUCAUACCCCAUCCCCA